This 245-nucleotide ribosomal RNA is filed under the name uncultured bacterium. Its description in RNAcentral is "partial 16S ribosomal RNA". It matches the Rfam family "Bacterial small subunit ribosomal RNA", at positions 524 to 770 of the family's 1533-position model. The record is from RNAcentral.
UACAGAGGGGCAAGCGUUGUUCGGAAUUACUGGGCGUAAAGGGCGCGUAGGCGGCCAACUAAGUCAGACGUGAAAUCCCCUGGCUCAACCAGGGAACUGCGUCUGAUACUGGAUGGCUUGAAUCCGGGAGAGGGAUGUGGAAUUCCAGGUGUAGCGGUGAAAUGCGUAGAUAUCUGGAGGAACACCGGUGGCGAAGGCGGCAUCCUGGACCGGUAUUGACGCUGAGGCGCGAAAGCCAGGGAGCA